This 84-nucleotide transfer RNA is filed under the name Caudoviricetes sp. RNAcentral's name for it is "tRNA-OTHER". The record is from RNAcentral. Lineage: Duplodnaviria; Heunggongvirae; Uroviricota; Caudoviricetes.
AGUGUUAUCAACGGUUUUGUCUCCCCUGCUAAGGGAGUAGGGCGGGAAACCGUCGCGAGGGUUCAAAUCCCUCCUUCCGCGCCA